This 432-nucleotide ribosomal RNA is filed under the name uncultured bacterium. RNAcentral describes it as "partial 16S ribosomal RNA". It matches the Rfam family "Bacterial small subunit ribosomal RNA", at positions 29 to 507 of the family's 1533-position model. The record is from RNAcentral.
AACGAACGCUGGCGGCAUGCCUAACACAUGCAAGUCGAACGAGAGCUUCGGGUCUAGUGGCGCACGGGUGCGUAACGCGUGGGAACCUGCCCUUAGGUUCGGAAUAACUCCCCGAAAGGGGUGCUAAUACCGGAUAAUGUCUUCGGACCAAAGAUUUAUUGCCUAUGGAUGGGCACGCGUUGGAUUAGCUAGUUGGUAGGGUAAAAGCCUACAAAGGCGACGAUCCAAAGCUGGUCGGGGUGGAUGGUCAGCCACACUGCGACUGAGACACGGCCCGAACCCCUCCGGAUGGCAGAAGUGGUGAAUAUGGAACACUGGGCGAAUGCCUAAGCCAUCAGUACCGCGAGAGUGUGUAAGUCGUUAGGGUUGUAAGGGUCUUUAACCGGGGAUAAUAAGAAGGUAACCAAGAAAAUAGGCACGGCUAAAUUCCUG